Molecule: long non-coding RNA, 2843 nt
Organism: Bombus huntii
Lineage: Eukaryota; Metazoa; Arthropoda; Insecta; Hymenoptera; Apidae
Exons: 5
Source: RefSeq, a predicted model, not a curated record
AUGAGCUAGAAUUUUGGAAAGAAACGUUAGUAUCACGUUAGAUAUUCUAAUUAUCGUAUUAAUAUUAGAUAUAUCGUAUUUUUUUCGAUGAUAUAAAAAACGCUAAUAACGGUGUGCGAGCUGUAAUCAACAUAUCGAUUAAAUUCCUCUGAUCGAAGAGCAAUGAUUCGGAACAUAAGCAGUUUGCCACUGCAGAACCGUAAGACGCACACCAUUAUCAAUAAUACGUCAUUCGACCCAUGCUGAACGUGCACUUCGUUAUCUUGCCGAGGAAACGUCAGACUAUCUUUCCCAGAAGGGCAUGGCUGACGCUGGAAACUUGGACGAUCAACAAAGUGGAAGUAAAAGAAGCAGAGCAACGUAUUCUAAACCUAGGGAUGUAAACGUUCGAUAGAGAAGGAGGUAUAAUAAAUCUAUUUAGAGACCGACAUUCGAUGUAUAAUAAUGUAAAUGUAUAAUAAGAGAAGAGGAACGAUAGCAUCUAUCAUGGACCAGUUAAAAAUUGCCAUGUUUGUUUGCAAGAGGAUCGCCAGGAGACUGAUGCCUCAGGGUAAGAUUCGUCGUACUUUUAUACGCGUGAUGACUGUCAGUGUUUUCGUGUCAUCCGCCAACAAUAACCCGAGCUAUUCCUUGCACCCAAACACGAAUCGUGCACACCCGUCUUACACACGCAUACACACCGCCCCCACUUGAAUCUCUCCUUCUUUUAUUCGGGCUACCUAUUACUCUGUUUCUUUUACCAUCCGAUGACCUCCUCAUAAAUGUUGCGAUGUCCAUACGUACAACUACGAGUCGAUGAGUAUGCGCGCUUAUGUUUCUUCAUAUCGUCGCGGCCUAUACACGCGACCUGUAUGCCAAUAUGUCGAAGAUACAGAGCCACUUCGAGGUCGUGCGACGAAACCGCGAACGUAAACCGUGAACUCCGCUGUAACCCUCUUGACGAAAGGUGUACGCACUUCCAAAAGUUUACGAUAUUGCGCGAUCGUUAUCGAUUAGCAUUUACGUCGCGCCUGCGACACCUUUAGCCAAGCCUGCACGCGAGAGAAAAAAGGGUUUCUUAACGCUAGACGAGUGAAGUAUGAGACUUGUAUCGGUGAAAUCGAAACGAACGUGGAAAAUGUGUUGAUUGAAAGGGAAAGGGAAACCUUUAACCGUAUAUUUUACAAAGAUCAUCGAGAUUCCUGAAAAUAUACUGUUCGAAAUUUAGAAGAUUUCUAUGAAGAACGACGAGUUGGUCAUUUUUACCGUGUUCUGAUUCCAACGAUAAUACUUGCGUCGAAAGAAUGCUAACUGUCCGUUCUGAUUCGAUCUUUGGUAGAAUUUUAAAUUAAAAAGGAAUUCUUAACGUAUGCAAUGGCAAACAGUACCGGCUAUCAUCGUAUUUGUCGUAGCAUCUACGUACCGACUAACUGGACCCAAGUAUAGUAUAUUAAAUCUCGAAUCAUUUGGCAGCACUUUGUGACGUGAUUACAAAAAUUUGAUACCGUGAGAACGAAAUGAAGAUGACCUAGUAAAAAAGGAAACAUUUCAUUGGGAAAGAAUCGUAUAUGGAAAUAAUUGUUGCAGCCGGUGUAUAUUGUUUGCGCUAAAUAGGUAUAAAAUGAAUCGAUAACGCUAUGAUAACAGCUAGCACCAAUACAUUAAUACAUUAAUGUAGUCGGAACAUGUGUCAAUCGAAUUCGUUUUAAAUUUGACACACGAUCGCCGAAUUUUAAGUGCAAACGAAGUGUGAGCGGCCAUAUAAUUUGUAUGCUGAUACAUCGAAGAAAGUCAUUCGAGGUUAUUCGACGAAAUUACGAAAGGAUCGGACGCCGGAGAAACCUUUCGUUCGAAUCGAAGAAUAGAAGGAACAGAUGAUUCAUAUAUGCCGACAUACACGAGAUGCUUUCGGGAAAUUUUGCCUAUGCCUCCUUAAAUCUGUGUAAAAAGAGGUUAUCUGUGCGAAGAGACAAUGGAUAAUCGAACUUUCUUUCGUAACAAAACAUUGUGAAAGAAUUACAACAGCUGCUUGUAGUCGAUUCGUUCUUUAUUGUUAGAUCCCUUAUUUAUUAUGUACUACACGUAUAAAUCGCAAUAAUUUAUAUUCAUUUUCGAUAUAUAUAUCGCCCAUUUGUAAUAUGAUAUCUUUUAUCUAUAACAUAUAUUUUACAGGAAAAUUAAAGAAUCAUUCGUUUCUGGUUGAAAGAAUAACUUUAUUCUGCUGUAAUACGAUCUUUAAAGUGCUACAGUAUAGAAAAGAAAAAUCGCAAAAUAAUCUGCGUGGACUUGCUUUAAAGCGUGAUACUUCUACUUUCUGAUCAUCAAAUUGUAUUUCCUCGUGGAUGCCUCUAUAUUCGCAAAAAGAGGUAAAAGUGAGGAUGAUUUUGUCGCAAAAAUGUAUGUUUUGAACUAUUUCACUUUUCAUUCAAAGUGCCAUAAAACGGUUUUUGGUUUUGGUACGAAUCGCGAAUAAAUUUCUUAAAUUUCACAGGCUUGUUCGAAUUUGUAGAAUUUUCGGAAUAAAAAAUAAUGUUCACUUUCCCGCCCCGCUUCUAAGCAUAAAAGCGUCUUCGAGAAAAAUUAAUUUAGAGUUGAGAAAGUAGAGACUUUGCCAACUGAAAUGAGCCCACGCUAAUAGUUGUACAAUCUGUCAUCAGGAAAUUACAGUACUUCAAAAAUUGAUAACAUUUUAAUUCAGAAUUGAUGAUCGUUUAACUUGCCCGCAAAGAUUUAAGUAAUAAACAACAAAUAAAAGAAAUAGGUAAAAGACCCAUUUUAUAAUUUCAGAAAACGAGGAUUUUCUAAUUUACAAUAUUUUACACAAAAAUAUUUAUUUAAAUAGUCGUAUGGAAAUAUAAUUUAUU